RNAcentral lists this long non-coding RNA (893 nucleotides) under Phascolarctos cinereus (koala). RNAcentral describes it as "lncRNA (ENSPCIG00000023646.2)". Lineage: Eukaryota; Metazoa; Chordata; Mammalia; Diprotodontia; Phascolarctidae. The record is from RNAcentral.
AGUGGGGAGAGAAGAGGGACCACAGUUCCCUAGGGGCAAGGUGUAGACAAAUUGCCUCUGGAACAGUCUACUCUGAGCCCUGGAUAUACAGCUCAGGCUCUUAUUCCACUAAAAAGUUCUUCCCAAUACCACCCAACUUCUUUGACCCACUACCACUGAAAGGGACAUGGAGAGACUAGGAUCCAUGCUCUCCUGAACUCCCCAGUCUCAUCUGUAGGGCAGAAUCUUAACACGACCAUGAAGUUCAUUCUUCCCUUUGCUCUCCUUGUGGGUACAUUUUCCUGUGAUCAUAAUUCAGAAAAGGAGGAAGACUUGGCCCCUUCUCUGGUAUAUAUCAAAAACCACUUCCACCCCUGCAUAGCUACUCUCUUGCACCAACAAUCUCUGCUGGCUGCUGCUCAGUGCUACUUACCGUAAGCCUCAAAGUGAUGGUGGAAAAUUUCUCAAAGAAACUUAAGGACAGAACAGAGCAAAUAAUUUAUUCCAUCCAGAUCAUUCACUACUGGAAUUUAACUACAGAUUCUUCCAAGCACCUUAACAAGGCAUCCUUGACCUGGACCUCUAAAAGUAUCAGUGUCAUCCCUGGAGUCACCAAGUGUCCUGUCUCUGGCUUGGAUUGGAGCACACAGAAUAGUGGUAGAAAGCAGUUUGACCUUAAGAAAAAAUUUAAGACUUCUCCAAUCACAGAGAAAGAGUGUCAGAAAAAAGAACUUGGGAAAGUCUGCAGCAAAAACAAGCAAUAUGUGAAAUUCUUAAAAUCAUUCAAGAGACUUUGUGUGGAAACUUGGAUCCACCUAUGACAUAAAUGGUAUAUGACUAUUGACGAAGGGGAUGAGGUAUUAUUAUUAAUUCUCUAAAGACUGUACUGGGUUAUUGGAGAUGGGGGAGAUAGG